UGCUUUUCCCCUUUUUGCAAAAUCAAAAUGUUCAUCUCUCUCUCUCUCUCUCUGUUUCUCUCUGCACCACCACAGCACACUAGCACCUCCAUAACUCCAUCUUCUCUCUCAACCAAACCUUGACAGCCGCUGCCUAAAAUCUCCUAGAGAUAGGGAUACAUUGCCGAUUAUCAACAGUUCCAACGAGAUCAACCUUUUUCUCGUCAGAAAACGCCCAAAACCGUCUCUCUCUCAUUGUUUCCAACCACCGGCGUCCGAAGUUUUCUCCACUUCCAACACCUGACGUUGCAAGAAGGGCAAAAUUCUGAAGUAUGAUGAAAAGCUCUUUUGGAUGGUAUUUUGGACAAUAUACUGCACAGCUAAUGGACAACAUUUUUGGAUAGUUUUUUGGAAAGCAUUUCAGACAUUAUUGCACAGUAGAGGGACAUCUUAGAUAGUAUUUUUGACUUGAUAAUUUUUUAGACAGUAUAACUGAAAAUUUGGACAAGUGAUUGCAUAGCCAACACUAAUUAUAGUUAUCAUUUUGGAAAACUUUUGUAACUAAUGAAGUUACUCAAGCAUGAUAGAUUUCAUGUAGGUUUGAGUAGCUUCUAGUUAAAGACUAAUUAUAUGCAAAUUAUGAAAGUUUUUAAUGCAAUAGUAAAUUUUAUUCUUAUA
Long non-coding RNA from Quercus lobata, 657 nucleotides. RefSeq lists it as uncharacterized. The record is from RefSeq and is a predicted model, not a curated record. The transcript is spliced from 2 exons. NCBI's taxonomy places the organism in Eukaryota, Viridiplantae, Streptophyta, Magnoliopsida, Fagales, Fagaceae.